RNAcentral lists this transfer RNA (74 nucleotides) under Candidatus Methanomethylophilaceae archaeon. RNAcentral describes it as "tRNA-Cys". It matches the Rfam family "tRNA". From Rfam's summary of the family: Transfer RNA (tRNA) molecules are approximately 80 nucleotides in length. Their secondary structure includes four short double-helical elements and three loops (D, anti-codon, and T loops). Further hydrogen bonds mediate the characteristic L-shaped molecular structure. tRNAs have two regions of fundamental functional importance: the anti-codon, which is responsible for specific mRNA codon recognition, and the 3' end, to which the tRNAs corresponding amino acid is attached (by aminoacyl-tRNA synthetases). tRNAs cope with the degeneracy of the genetic code in two manners: having more than one tRNA (with a specific anti-codon) for a particular amino acid; and 'wobble' base-pairing, i.e. permitting non-standard base-pairing at the 3rd anti-codon position. The record is from RNAcentral. Lineage: Archaea; Methanobacteriati; Thermoplasmatota; Thermoplasmata; Methanomassiliicoccales; Methanomethylophilaceae.
GUCGGGGUAACACAGUGGCUAUGUGGCGGACUGCAGAUCCGCAUACGGGGGUUCGAUCCCCUCUCCCGAUCCCA